AUGAAUGAAAAUAUUGUACAAUGGCGGUUCACGGGCUUUUAUGGUCGUCCGAACUGGAACGAUCGCAGUUUAUCUUGGGAAGACAUUCGUAAUCUGCAUCACAAGGGGAACCAUCCUUGGGUAAUUUUGGGGGAUUUCAAUGAAAUAUUAUAUACUUCGAAGAAAGAGGGUGGUAAUAUGAGACCAAAUGGCAUGAUGAGGGAAUUCCGUGAAUGUCUUAUGGACUGUGGGUUGGAGGAUUUAGGAUAUAUCGGCGAUCCCUUUACUUGGAGUAGAGGUGACACUCGAGAGUGUCUUGACCGUGCAGUGUGCAAUCUAGGGUGGGCUCAUAAAUUUUCUCGUGCGGCUGUGAUUAACGAAGAACAUGUUCACUCUGACCACCUUCCGCUGGUCCUGGAUAUGAACUAUCUGGGUGAUAGUAUUUUUAGACGAUCGACGGGGUGUGUAAAACAAUUUGAAGCCAAAUGGCUAAAAGAAGAGACUGUUAAUGAAAUCGUGAAGGCAUCUUGGGAAAAAACAAAGUUAACAGGCGUUGGUCCUUCCCUUGCUGACCGUACGAAAGCCAUCCAUGCCGAUUUGCACCAUUGGGACCGUGAGAUUCUUAAGGGUCCUAAGCGGAGAAUUCAAAAAUUGAAAAAAAGAGUUAGAGAGAUUGAGACGUGGUCCAAUGAAUACUGA
Molecule: ribosomal RNA, 678 nt
Filed under: Triticum aestivum (bread wheat)
Lineage: Eukaryota; Viridiplantae; Streptophyta; Magnoliopsida; Poales; Poaceae
Description: partial small subunit ribosomal RNA
Source: RNAcentral